UACGUAGGGUGCGAGCGUUGUCCGGAAUUACUGGGCGUAAAGGGUUUGUAGGUGGCUUGCUCAGUCAGACGUGAAAUCCCUCAGCUUAACUGGGGAACUGCGUCUGAUACUAGCGAGCUUGAGUGCAGGAGAGGAACGCGGAAUUCCCGGUGUAGCGGUGAAAUGCGUAGAUAUCGUAAGGAAGACCAGUGGCGAAGGCGGGUCUCUGGACAGUUCCUGACGCUGAGGCACGAAGGCCAGGGGAGCAAACGGG
Molecule: ribosomal RNA, 253 nt
Filed under: uncultured bacterium
Lineage: Bacteria
Description: partial 16S ribosomal RNA
Rfam family: Bacterial small subunit ribosomal RNA
Source: RNAcentral